RNAcentral lists this ribosomal RNA (488 nucleotides) under uncultured bacterium. RNAcentral describes it as "partial 16S ribosomal RNA". It matches the Rfam family "Bacterial small subunit ribosomal RNA", at positions 28 to 507 of the family's 1533-position model. The record is from RNAcentral.
GACGAACGCUGGCGGCGUGCUUAACACAUGCAAGUCGAACGAAAAUACCAAGCUUGCUUGGUUGAUUAGUGGCGAACGGGUGAGUAACACGUGAGUAACCUGCCCCUUACUUUCCUGGAUAACUGCUCGAAAGGGUAGCUAAUACGGGAUAUUCUGACCAGCCUGCAUGGGUUGGUUAGGAAAGGUUGUUUUUCUGGUAAGGGAUGGGCUCGCGGCCUAUCAGCUUGUUGGUGGGGUGAUGGCCUACCAAGGCUGUGAAGGGUAGCCGGCCUGAGAGGGUGGCCGGCUACACUGGGACUAAGAUACGGCCCACACUCGUACGGGAGGCAGCAGUGUGGAAUAUUGCACAAUGAACGUAAGCCUGAUGCAGCGGCGCCGCGCGAGAGAUGAAGGCCUUCGGGUUGUAAUCCUCUUUCGUCAGGAAAAAAGGCACUGCUUUUUUGGUGGUGUUGAGGGUACCUGGAUAAGAAGCGCCGGCUAACUACGUG